RNAcentral lists this ribosomal RNA (398 nucleotides) under uncultured bacterium. RNAcentral's name for it is "partial 16S ribosomal RNA". It matches the Rfam family "Bacterial small subunit ribosomal RNA", at positions 360 to 775 of the family's 1533-position model. The record is from RNAcentral.
AAUAUUGGACAAUGGUCGCAAGCCUGAUCUAGUCAUGCCGCGUGAGUGAUGAAGGCCUUAGGGUUGUAAAGCUCUUUCACCGAAGAAGAUAAUGACGGUACUCGGAGAAGAAGCUCCGCCUAACUUCGUGCCUUCAUCCGCGGUAAUACGAAGGGGGCUAGCGUUGUUCGGAUUUACUGGGCGUAAAGCGCACGUAGGCGGAUUGGUCAGUUAGAAGUGAAAUCCAGAAGCUCAACUUCGGAACUGCCUUUAAUACUGCCAGUCUCGAGUCCGGAAGAGGUAAGUGGAACUCCUAGUGUAGAGGUGGAAUUCGUAGAUAUUAGGAAGAACACCAGUGGCGAAGGCGGCUUACUGGUCCGGAACUGACGCUGAGGUGCGAAAGCGUGGGGAGCAAACAG